GCGCUUGGAAUGCGUCCAGUCAGCGCCUAUAUUGGUCCUGUCCGGUUUCGGCCGGACUAUAGCGAUAAACGCGCUUGUAAUAAGCGGACCGGACCCGGGUGCGAUUCCCGGCGGCUCCACCAACUUUCUCCCCGCGUUAUCGGCGGAGGCAGCAUGGGGCCGACUAGCAUCGACGGACGUGUAAAGAGGAUUGCUUUCGCUCGUCCUGGCCCACCGUAUCGGGCCAUUUUCUAACUGCGAACGAUAACUUCGCUGGAGAAGUCGCUCUCGCCGCGUAAUGCGGUUCGGGUGAUUUCGAAUCUUAAGUCCUAGGGGUUCAGAUCCUUGGGCGGGGCCUGUCGGGAGCCUGGCAACAGAAUCCCGGCGCU
Molecule: transfer-messenger RNA, 368 nt
Filed under: Brevundimonas intermedia
Lineage: Bacteria; Pseudomonadati; Pseudomonadota; Alphaproteobacteria; Caulobacterales; Caulobacteraceae
Rfam family: Alphaproteobacteria transfer-messenger RNA
About the family: Bacterial tmRNA, also known as 10Sa RNA or SsrA, is named for its dual tRNA and mRNA-like properties. Its role is to liberate the mRNA from a stalled ribosome. To accomplish this part of the tmRNA is used as a reading frame that ends in a translation stop signal.
Source: RNAcentral